GUGCAGCCCAUACUUCUUCUUUCUAAAUUAUAAUUCAAAUUUCAUCUGAAAUUCCAGAGUUUGGAGAACAAUGGGAUGAAGACGGUUCAGGAAAUUAAUGGAAAAGCAAUGUCGGAACAUUGACAUUUGGCACAAAUCGAGAAGACAGUUGUGGAAUGGUGCCGGACACGAAAAAUCGCGUCACAAUUCUAAAAGCACGAAAAAUCUGCACAAUCUGCCUGAAAACCGACAUCAAGGGACACAACUGCAAAAGAGAACAAUGCAAGUAUUGCGGCUUGCAGACUCAUCACACCUCUAUAUGCUAUAGGACCAAGAGCCAAAAGAAGAACUGA
Molecule: long non-coding RNA, 332 nt
Organism: Caenorhabditis elegans
Lineage: Eukaryota; Metazoa; Nematoda; Chromadorea; Rhabditida; Rhabditidae
Gene: H09G03.4
Product: ncRNA
Source: Ensembl